RNAcentral lists this long non-coding RNA (453 nucleotides) under Heterocephalus glaber (naked mole-rat). Its description in RNAcentral is "lncRNA (ENSHGLG00000041321.1)". The record is from RNAcentral. Lineage: Eukaryota; Metazoa; Chordata; Mammalia; Rodentia; Bathyergidae.
GCAAAUGAACAAGAGAAAGACCUGUCUUCAUGAGUCAUCUGUUCAGCAACAACACCACCUCAUAUGAUGAAGCAAUAUCCAGUGUGAUGGUAUUCGGAGACACAAUGAGAAGAUGGCCAUCAGCAGGCCAGGAAUUGAGCCCUGACCAAAUGCUGCAUCUGUUAGCUCCAGCACUGUAAGAAGUUCACUUCUGUUAUGUAAGCCAUCCGGUAUGUAGAUUCUAUUACAACACCCUGGAGCGACUGUGACACUAGUAAAGAAAGCUUGCCAAGAAGAAGGGAGUCAUUAACUGCCGGAGCUAUUUGAAUAAUGACAAUGAGAAAGAGUAAAAGUGAGAGUGCUAACUGUAGAAACAGGUCCAGUUACAUGAUAAUAUGAUCAGUACAGUCUCACACUUGGGCUUUUAUGCAUCGUGGUAGCUAUCUUGAAUUUAUAAACAAUUUUACUUCAUUG